AUGCUGAAAAUGUACACUGGUGAUCUCGGGGCCCUGGAUGCACAGUAUCAGGCAAUCAGCUUCCAUGAGUGGAAAAUAAAGGAUGACUGUCGAGCAGAACAGUUCUGGGCCGAAGUUCUGAACUACAAGGACAGCAGUGGGGAACAGUGUUUUAAAGAUCUGGCCCUGUUUGCGCUGUCUCUUCUUGCGAUGCCUUUAAGCAAUGCAGAUGAUGAAAGAGUUUUUUUUUCACAAAUGAACCACCUAAAGUCUAAAUUGCGGAACAGAAUGGGGCAGAAAACACUCAGUAGCAUACUGUACGUUCGCUACGGCCUAAGAAGACUCGGAAUUUGUUGCAAGGACUUUGUCCCAAGCCAAGAAAUGUUGCAGCUCUUUAGUGUUGGGAUGUACAGAGGUGGAAAGGAGACCUCUGGGGAGAUGAUGGACAGUGCAGGGGAGGAGAGGGAUGACCUUUUUUUUUGUAAGGUGAUCGGAGAUGAGGAAAGUGGUUCUCUCCGCUUUGUUGCCGUUCCCUGAUUUUUUUAUUUUUUUAUCCUUUUUUUCUUAAACAGUUUGUCCUUUUGUAAUAAAGCAGUUGUUUCCGUUUAAUAUGUUGCAGGCUCAUUUAUUGUUAAUAAAUGAUAAUGCGGAAAAUAAAUAAUCAAAUGAUAUUGGGCUUGUUUUGGGCUUGUUUUUGAAGCUCCAGUUGCGUAUUUGUCUCGCGAGAGUUGGCAACUGUGAUCUGGUUUAGUAAUGCAUAUAGUAAACCCGCUAGAACAGUUUAUAACAGCUGAGUUAUGAUAUAUAUCAGUUUAAUGACUGCAUAAAUAUGUUAAAUCCGUACACACAUUAUCUCACUGGUCACACUUGUAACCUAACAAAAUAAAAAUAUUUCUAAGGGUUACUGAUAACAAUUUGGAUGUGUUAAUAUAUGGGAACACAUUUGUGAUUAAACGAGUUAAUAUUAAAUAAAAGCCGUUUUAAUUUAAUGUGUAAAACAAUAAAAAUAGCUUUAUUUGUGUUUAUCACAAACAUCUUUGGCGGGAAAGUGAGACAAAGAACUGUGAGUGGGAGGAGAUCGGAAGCAGUAAAAUUUAGAAGCCUGUGAUUGGCUGAUGUGUCUGUCUAGCCCGCACAUUUUUAACCAAUGAAAUAUGUUUCUUUCAAUCAUUGUACGAAAAGACCCAAUCAGGAAAAAGCAGCCAGCCCUCCUAAAUUAGCAUGAGCAUUGUAUAAAUCCCCAGUCCAUUAUCUUAAACACUUAUUGUGUUGUUCUACUCAUCGUGAACUAACAUGCCUGAACCAGCGAAGUCCGCUCCUAAGAAGGGCUCCAAGAAGGCCGUCACCAAGACCGCCACUAAAGGAGGAAAGAAGCGCAGAAAGUCCAGGAAGGAGAGCUACGCUAUCUACGUGUACAAAGUGCUGAAGCAGGUCCAUCCUGACACCGGCAUCUCUUCGAAGGCGAUGGGGAUCAUGAACUCUUUCGUCAACGACAUCUUCGAGCGCAUCGCCGGUGAGUCGUCUCGUCUCGCUCACUACAACAAGCGCUCCACCAUCACCUCGAGAGAGAUCCAGACCGCCGUGCGUCUGCUGCUGCCCGGAGAGCUGGCCAAACACGCCGUGUCUGAGGGCACCAAGGCCGUCACCAAGUACACCAGCUCCAAGUAGAUCUUCGUUCCGACUCCGAAACACAAAGGCUCUUUUAAGAGCCACCCAUCUCAUCACUUAAAGAGUUUGCAUAAUUUUAGUCUGUUUUUCUGAAACUGGAAUGCUUCUUUCUGGCGAAUAAAACGUUAUAAAUCGCAGUUUUAUAUCAAGAUAGUAACGGUCUUUGAAACCAUUGUUUUGACCUCAAUCAAGGGUUUGUGUCUUAUCUGUAUGUCACCAGUGGGCUUGAUCUUUUUUUUUUUCGGUGUAACCCUUCGAUUUUAAUGCUUUUUUGGGGGGGCACAUAAGAAUAUAUAAAAUUUUAUUUUGGUAUUCGCACAAUGGAGUCUAAAAUAAAUGCACAUUGUAUUGCACAAUUCCGAUUGAUUGCGUCGUGAUUACAAUAUAAUGUUGAAGAAAGUUUCCAAUAAAACACAUUAAUGAAAGGCGUGCAGUUCAAUAAAGACUUGAUUUGAAAGGAACCUCGAGAGCAACCGUUUUUAUCAAAAUUUUUGAACGUGUGAUUUUAUACCCGUUAUUUUAUCAGCUUUUGCACAUAAUCGCGUGUUUUAUUUUCAAAUGUAUAUUCGUUUUCUGUGUAUCAUAUAUAUAUAUAUAUAUAUAUAUUUUUUUUUUUUUUUUUUUUACAUUAAAAGGAAAGCGUGGCAGAGAGAGACGGGGCUUGGAGUUUUGAGGGGCUUUCAGUGAUUGGUUUACAGCUGUGACAGAUUCUGACCAAUAGACGACGAGCACAUCUCUUAUAAAACGAUCGGCAAACCAUGACUCCAACAUUUCUGCGUAAAUUUGCAGUGUAAGUUCAACAAUAUCUGAAUAAUGAGUGGCAGAGGUAAAACUGGUGGUAAGGCCAGGGCGAAGGCUAAGACUCGCUCCUCCAGAGCAGGACUGCAGUUCCCCGUCGGUCGUGUUCACAGACUUCUUCGCAAAGGGAACUACGGCGAGCGCGUCGGUGCCGGUGCUCCGGUGUAUCUGGCCGCUGUGCUCGAGUAUCUGACGGCUGAGAUCCUGGAGCUGGCUGGAAACGCCGCUCGGGACAACAAGAAGACCCGUAUCAUCCCCCGUCACCUGCAGCUGGCAGUGCGCAACGACGAGGAGCUCAACAAACUCCUGGGCGGAGUGACCAUCGCUCAGGGCGGCGUGCUGCCCAACAUCCAGGCCGUGCUGCUGCCCAAGAAGACCGAGAAACCCGCCAAAACCAAGUGAACACGAGAGAACACGAUACUCACAAAGGCUCUUUUCAGAGCCACACACAUCCUCUUUAAGAGCCGUUUGAAAUAUGAUGGAUUUAGACUACGAAAAUCGGUUCCUUCAGAGAGAAUCUUCUAAAAAACGGCAGAUAACCACAGAAAAAAUAAAUAUGAUCAGUCCAUCAAAGCUGAGGCAUCAGAUUAUUGUUGAAUGCCAAUCUUCACUGAGGAUAUUAAUACUAAUAAUAUAUAUUAAUAAUUUGCUUGAGUUUGGUUCUAGUUCAGUGGAUUUAUUUGCGGUUUUGUUGUUAAUUUGUGCAAUAAAAUGUUUGAUUAAAAUAAUAAAAUAAUGGUUUUGUAACAAAAUACAUGUACAAAAUUAGGCAAUUAUAUAGAUUAUCAUAAAAACACUGCACAUGAAAGGGUUUUCAACACACAAACUAUUAAUUUUUGCAAAGUUAUGGUAAAACAAAGCCCUACAAAAAUUCUAAAUUAAGAGCCAUUCAGGAGUCGAAAGAGCCGGUUCUUUGGGAGCUGAGCCAUCACUAGUAACAAAAAUGGGACAAUGAAAUGAGAAAUUUUGAGCGGGAAACGCAGACUGCAGCUGUCUGUUCGAAAAAAGGAAACGCACUGUCAUUGGCCGCCUCGCGCUGUGACGUAAACACAAUAGCCAAUCCAAUGCCGCCGGUGACGCACCGCCCAAUGCUGCAGGAGAUAUUAAAAGUCCCCUGCAAAAGCGUCUGAUCAUUCUGUUGAAGAGAUCAACACAGGAAACUCGAGAAAAUGGCAAGAACCAAGCAGACGGCCCGUAAAUCUACCGGAGGCAAAGCCCCGAGGAAGCAGCUCGCCACCAAAGCCGCCCGUAAGAGCGCUCCAGCCACCGGCGGCGUCAAGAAGCCUCACCGUUACAGGCCCGGCACCGUGGCUCUGCGAGAGAUCCGUCGCUACCAGAAGUCCACCGAGCUGCUGAUCCGCAAGCUGCCCUUCCAGCGUCUGGUGCGAGAGAUCGCUCAGGACUUCAAGACGGACCUGCGCUUCCAGAGCUCCGCCGUCAUGGCCCUGCAGGAGUCCAGCGAGGCUUAUCUGGUCGGUCUGUUCGAGGACACCAACCUGUGCGCCAUCCACGCCAAGAGAGUCACCAUCAUGCCCAAAGACAUCCAGCUGGCCCGCCGCAUCCGUGGAGAGCGCGCUUAAACGCCUGACUUCACAAGUCUUGAAACCCUACAAGGCUCUUUUAAGAGCCACUUCAAUUUGUCUAACAAAAAGCAAUUACCUGAAUUUCUGUAAAACAUGCUGUGUGUACAUACAUUGUCAAGUUUUCUUAAUUAUAUUUUCUAGUUUAACAUUUUCAACAUUAAUAAUCUCAUCUAAUAUAUCUAAUAUAUCGUGUCUCUUCAUAGAUGACCUUCUAUAGUCAUUUUAUAGGAAUUGCUCCGUUUGAUCUUUCCUGAGGGAAGCAACUGACUCACAUUAGAUCUCUCACAAUAACACUACAGCGAAGACACAUCAGAGGAGCA
Molecule: long non-coding RNA, 4348 nt
Filed under: Carassius auratus (goldfish)
Lineage: Eukaryota; Metazoa; Chordata; Actinopteri; Cypriniformes; Cyprinidae
Description: lncRNA (ENSCARG00000004245.1)
Rfam family: Histone 3' UTR stem-loop (bases 1670-1715)
Source: RNAcentral